This 492-nucleotide ribosomal RNA is filed under the name uncultured bacterium. RNAcentral describes it as "partial 16S ribosomal RNA". It matches the Rfam family "Bacterial small subunit ribosomal RNA", at positions 29 to 507 of the family's 1533-position model. The record is from RNAcentral.
AGUGAACGCUGGCGGUAGGCCUAACACAUGCAAGUCGAACGGCAGCACAGUAAGAGCUUGCCCUUACGGGUGGCGAGUGGCGGGCGGGUGAGGCAUACAUCGGAUUCUACUUUUUCGUGGGUGACAACGUAGGGCCACUUACGCUACCACCUCAUACGACCAACGGGUGGAAGCAGGGGAUCUUCGGACUUUGCCCGACUCAUUUAGCCGAUGUCGGAUUAGCUAGUUGGCGGGGUAAAGGCCCACCAAGGCGACGAUCCGUAGCGGGUCUGAGAGGAUGAUCAGCCACACUGGAACUGAGACACGGUCCAGACUCCUACGGGAGGCAGCAGUAGGGAAUAUUGGGCAAUGGGCGAAAGCCUGAUGCAGCCAUACGGCGUGAGUGAUGAAGGCCUUCGGGUUGUAAAGCCCUUUUAUUGGGGAAGAACAACAGCAGGUUAAUACCCCGAUGUUCUGACGGUACCCAAAGAAUAAGCACCGGCUAACUUCGUG